This 497-nucleotide ribosomal RNA is filed under the name uncultured bacterium. Its description in RNAcentral is "partial 16S ribosomal RNA". It matches the Rfam family "Bacterial small subunit ribosomal RNA", at positions 28 to 507 of the family's 1533-position model. The record is from RNAcentral.
GAUGAACGCUGGCGGCGUGCCUAAUACAUGCAAGUCGAGCGAACGGACGAGAAGCUUGCAUCUCUGAUGUUAGCGGCGGACGGGUGAGUAACACGUGGAUAACCUACCUAUAAGACUGGGAUAACUUCGGGAAACCGGAGCUAAUACCGGAUAAUAUUUUGAACCGCAUGGUUCAAAAGUGAAAGACGGUCUUGCUGUCACUUAUAGAUGGAUCCGCGCUGCAUUAGCUAGUUGGUAAGGUAACGGCUUACCAAGGCAACGAUGCAUAGCCGACCUGAGAGGGUGAUCGGCCACACUGGAACUGAGACACGGUCCAGACUCCUACGGGAGGCAGCAGUAGGGAAUCUUCCGCAAUGGGCGAAAGCCUGACGGAGCAACGCCGCGUGAGUGAUGAAGGUCUUCGGAUCGUAAAACUCUGUUAUUAGGGAAGAACAUAUGUGUAAGUAACUGUGCACAUCUUGACGGUACCUAAUCAGAAAGCCACGGCUAACUACGUG